Molecule: ribosomal RNA, 477 nt
Filed under: uncultured bacterium
Lineage: Bacteria
Description: bacterial SSU rRNA
Rfam family: Bacterial small subunit ribosomal RNA
Source: RNAcentral
UUCGCAAUGCCCGAAAGGGUGACGAAGCGACGCCGCGUGUGGGAAGAAGGCCUUCGGGUUGUAAACCACUGUCGGGAGUUAAGAAAUGCAAGGAUAUUAAUAGUGUCUUUGUUUGACUAAGGCUCCGGAGGAAGCCACGGCUAACUCUGUGCCAGCAGCCGCGGUAAUACAGAGGCGGCAAGCGUUGUUCGGAAUUAUUGGGCGUAAAGAGCACGUAGGCGGCUAUGUAAGUCGGUUGUGAAAGCCUUCCGCUCAACGGAAGAACGGCAUCCGAUACUACAUGGCUUGAGUGCGGGAGGGGAGAGUGGAACUUCUGGUGGAGCGGUGAAAUGCGUAGAUAUCAGAAGGAACGCCGGCGGCGAAAGCGGCUCUCUGGCCCAUAACUGACGCUGAGUGUGCGAAAGCUAGGGGAGCAAACGGGAUUAGAUACCCCGGUAGUCCUAGCCGUAAACGAUGGGCACUAAGUAGAGGGGUUUU